AUGCAAGUCGAACGCAGUAGCAAUACUGAGUGGCAGACGGGUGAGUAACAUGUGGGAAUCUGCCUUGUGGUUCAGGACAACAUUGGGAAACCGAUGCUAAUACUGGAUAAGCCCUUACGGGGAAAGUUUUAAUGCCAUAAGAUGAGCCCGCAUUUGAUUAGUUAGUUGGUGAGGUAAUGGCUCACCAAGACAAUGAUCAAUAGCUGAUCUGAGAGGAUGAUCAGCCACACUGGGACUGAGACACGGCCCAGACUCCUACGGGAGGCAGCAGUGGGGAAUCUUGCACAAUGGAGGAAACUCUGAUGCAGCGAUGCCGCGUGAGUGAAGAAGGCCUUUGGGUUGUAAAGCUCUUUUGUAGGGGAAGAUAAUGACUGUACCCUAAGAAUAAGGUCCGGCUAACUUCGUGCCAGCAGCCGCGGUAAUACGAAGGGACCUAGCGUAGUUCGGAAUUACUGGGCGUAAAGCGCGCGUAGGCCGUUGAGUUAGUUAAUUGUGAAAUCCCAAAGCUUAACUUUGGAACUGCAAUUAAAACUGCUCGACUAGAGUUUGAUAGAGGAAAGCGGAAUACAUAGUGUAGAGGUGAAAUUCGUAGAUAUUAUGUAGAACACCAGUUGCGAAGGCGGCUUUCUGGAUCAACACUGACGCUGAGGCGCGAAAGUAUGGGUAGCAAAGAGGAUUAGAUACCCUCGUAGUCCAUACUAUAAACGAUGAUUGCUAGAUGUUGGAAAUUUAUUUUCAGUAUCGCAGCUAACGCAUUAAGCAAUC
This 765-nucleotide ribosomal RNA is filed under the name uncultured Pseudomonadota bacterium. RNAcentral's name for it is "bacterial SSU rRNA". It matches the Rfam family "Bacterial small subunit ribosomal RNA", at positions 55 to 869 of the family's 1533-position model. Lineage: Bacteria; Pseudomonadati; Pseudomonadota. The record is from RNAcentral.